Molecule: RNase P RNA, 428 nt
Filed under: Deltaproteobacteria bacterium
Lineage: Bacteria; Pseudomonadati; Myxococcota; Myxococcia
Description: RNase P RNA component class A
Rfam family: Bacterial RNase P class A
About the family: Ribonuclease P (RNase P) is a ubiquitous endoribonuclease, found in archaea, bacteria and eukarya as well as chloroplasts and mitochondria. Its best characterised activity is the generation of mature 5'-ends of tRNAs by cleaving the 5'-leader elements of precursor-tRNAs.
Source: RNAcentral
GAAGGCGGCCGGAAGGUCGCCGGUGCGCCAUCUAAGGUUCACGGGAGGAAAGUCCGGGCUCCACAGGACAGGGAGGUCGGUAACGCCGACCCGGGGUGACCCGAGGGAAAGCGCCGCAGAAACGACACCGCCGAUGGUCCGGCUCUCUUCUUCUUGAGGAGGCCAGACACAGGUAAGGGUGAAAUCGUGAGGUAAGAGCUCACGCGCGACAGCCGGGUGACCGGCGGCGGGGCAAGCCCCUCCCGGAGCAAGCUCGAAUAGGGACAUCGUCGAGGGCGGUCCGCCUGAUCGCCCGGCUUCGGUCGGGUGCGGUGUCCGGGUGAGAGUGCUCGAGCCGUCCAGCAAUGGCCGGCCUAGAGGAAUGACCUUCUCCCGCGCCGGGGCAACCCGGCGCGGAGACAGAACCCGGCUUACAGGCCGCUCCAGAU